This 476-nucleotide ribosomal RNA is filed under the name Streptococcus infantis. RNAcentral describes it as "bacterial SSU rRNA". It matches the Rfam family "Bacterial small subunit ribosomal RNA", at positions 28 to 489 of the family's 1533-position model. Lineage: Bacteria; Bacillati; Bacillota; Bacilli; Lactobacillales; Streptococcaceae. The record is from RNAcentral.
GACGAACGCUGGCGGCGUGCCUAAUACAUGCAAGUAGAACGCUGAAGGAGGAGCUUGCUCUUCUGGAUGAGUUGCGAACGGGUGAGUAACGCGUAGGUAACCUGCCUGGUAGCGGGGGAUAACUAUUGGAAACGAUAGCUAAUACCGCAUAAGAGUAGAUAUCGCAUGAUAGCUGCUUGAAAGGUGCAAUUGCACCACUACCAGAUGGACCUGCGUUGUAUUAGCUAGUUGGUGAGGUAACGGCUCACCAAGGCAACGAUACAUAGCCGACCUGAGAGGGUGAUCGGCCACACUGGGACUGAGACACGGCCCAGACUCCUACGGGAGGCAGCAGUAGGGAAUCUUCGGCAAUGGACGAAAGUCUGACCGAGCAACGCCGCGUGAGUGAAGAAGGUUUUCGGAUCGUAAAGCUCUGUUGUAAGAGAAGAACGAGUGUGAGAGUGGAAAGUUCACACUGUGACGGUAUCUACCAGAAA